GUUCUUUUCCUGUUGGGGACCUGCAGUGCUGUUAGAGUUCCCCGGCAAUUUGUCAACCUGGGAUUCGUACCAGAGGGUCCUUUCCAUCCUGCGUACUACCCGAAUUAUAUACUUCAUGAAGUUUCCCAGGUGGAUCCCAACCAUCCCACCUCGACGGGACUCAUUUCUGGAGGAAGACCUGGCAUUUCGCAACUCCAAUCUUCACUCCACUAUUUUUCCGGGCCGCUAUAUGGUUACAGAAUUUAUCUAAGACCGCUGUUUCCGAACUACCAACAAACGAUACCGAGCUACGGUCUCCAAGAACUUCCUUUCAAGCCACCACAAGGAAGACCUUUAUCAGAGGAUGAUGGAGGUGAGAAGAUGGAUCAAAAGGUUGAUACAGAGAUGUCAAGUAACUUCAGUGGCAGCGCAAAUCAAACUGAAAAUGAUGAUGACAGUGUUAUAAUUGAUGCCAUUUAACAAUUCCCAGAUUAAUGUAUUCUUUACAUGUUUUGUAUUCAU
Long non-coding RNA from Diachasma alloeum, 501 nucleotides. RefSeq lists it as uncharacterized. Lineage: Eukaryota; Metazoa; Arthropoda; Insecta; Hymenoptera; Braconidae. The transcript has 3 exons. The record is from RefSeq and is a predicted model, not a curated record.